CCCUUAGAUGUUCUGGGCCGCACGCGUGCUGCACUGAGUGGAUCAGCGGGUCAGGUUGCGCGAAAGCGUUUCCUAAUCUUUAAAUCCGCUCGUGAUGGGGAUUGACGGUUGCAAUUUUCUGUCAUGAACGAGGAAUACCUUGUAAGCGCGGGUCAUCAUCCCGCGCUGAAUACGUCCCUGCCCUUUGUACACACCGCCCGUCGCUCCUACCGAUUGAGUGGUUUAGUGAGAUCCUUGGAUCGGCCCUGUCGCGGCUGGCAACGGCCGCGUCGGCGCGUCGAGAAGACGAUCAAACUUGAUCAUUUAGAGGAAGUAAAAGUCGUAACA
Molecule: ribosomal RNA, 327 nt
Filed under: uncultured eukaryote
Lineage: Eukaryota
Description: partial 18S ribosomal RNA
Rfam family: Eukaryotic small subunit ribosomal RNA
Source: RNAcentral